This 687-nucleotide long non-coding RNA is filed under the name Rattus norvegicus (Norway rat). RNAcentral describes it as "long non-coding RNA NONRATT001513". The record is from RNAcentral. Lineage: Eukaryota; Metazoa; Chordata; Mammalia; Rodentia; Muridae.
AGACUGGGUCCUGCUGUACUGGCCUGGAGCUGACUAUGAAGAUCAAGCUGACCUCUAACUUCUGGUGAACCUUCUUCCUAUUUCUUCUGUGUGCUGUGAUUAUAGGCAUUGCUAUUACCUGGUCUCACCCUGCUUAUUCAUAGUUCUGUUUUAACACAGGGUCUUGUGUACCUGAUGCCUGCCUUGAAUUUGUUCUUCCAGCCCUGGAGCUCUGUGCAGACCAGGCUCACCUUGAACUUUAAGAAAUCUGCCUGUACUGCUUCCCUAAGUGCUCAGGCUAUAGGCAUGAGCCCCCAUACCUAGUCCUCAACAGCUUCAGUGCUCAUAGUACUGCAUCUCUCUUGCCUUCUAGGUUAGGCUGCCUGAUGGGACUUCACUGACCCAAACCUUCCGGGCCCGGGAGCAGCUGGCAGCUGUGAGGCUCUAUGUGGAGCUUCACCGAGGGGAGGAACCUGGACAGGACCAGGACCCGGUGCAGUUGCUCAGUGGCUUCCCCAGACGGGCUUUCUCAGAGGCUGACAUGGAACGGCCUCUGCAGGAACUGGGACUCGUGCCUUCUGCUGUCCUCAUUGUGGCCAAGAAGUGUCCCAGCUGAGGGUCCUCCAUCCCACCAUCUCUGUCUGACCUCUUCAUCUUUGAUAAAGCACUGACAUUUCCUUCCUAAUAAAUAGACCCUUUGAGUUCUGU